Molecule: unclassified non-coding RNA, 232 nt
Filed under: Hevea brasiliensis (rubber tree)
Lineage: Eukaryota; Viridiplantae; Streptophyta; Magnoliopsida; Malpighiales; Euphorbiaceae
Source: RNAcentral
AAAAUAAAAAAAAUAAUAAAAAAAUAGUAAAAAAAAAAAAUCUCGGAGAGAACGAAUGUUGAAGUUGGAGCACAGAGAAGAGAAGAGAUUUGGUAGCAGGCCGCGCAAAGAUCGCCAGAUAUUCUACGUGUUAGCUAUUUGUUGCCGUUGAAAAUGGCUUUAUGACCGGCGAAGGACAUUGAUACUUCCUUGUUAAAAUUGUCUUUUUUUUUAUUUAAUUUUAUUAAAAAAA